UUUUUGUAUUUAUAUGGUUUUUUUAAAAAAAAGAAAAAAAAAUUAUCCUCCCGCAACCGCCCGCAACCGCAAACGCUAACUGGAACCAGCUUUUGAUUUUAAGAGGUUUGGAGCGGUUUGAAGCGAUUUGUAGCGGUUUGUAUGAUUGUUUCGAAACGCUGUCAACCGCUACCAAUCGCAAAAGCUGCGUUUGCGGGUGAUAGCGGGAAAACCAAUCAAGCUCUAAAAGGAGGAUACUAAGCCCUCUAAAGGUGUACACGUCGGAUUGAAAAAUUAACCAUUCAUAGAGCAGCAUUCGUCCACGUCAUAUAAAAGGGAUUGAGCUAGAAAAGGCACGUUGGCUGGGCUUUGUAAAAAAUAUAAUUUGCCCAUCCUCAGCCCAAAACCUAUUUGUCUCAAACUUGCCUUUCUCUCCCCCUCGACUCUUCCACUUCAUCUUCUCUAAUCUCUGAGUUUUCCGAGUUUCACGUUACUUUAGCCACUUAUGAUCAAUCAGUGAUCUUUAAACUCUUUUUCAAUGUUCCGUUCCACCUCUCUAUGAUUCUUCAUCCUUCAAAUCCAGACGUUUUAUGAUAUUUAUCAACCACUAGCUAUAAAUUUAGGGCCAUACACACGAACCCUCACCUCCCCAACCAAGUUUUUGCAGUUCUUGAUUUUUUACUCCCCUUUUCCGUUCUGGCUAACCUUGAUUUUGUCUUCCUACUUUACUUUCAACAAUCUGCAUCUUUGCCGUUUUCUCAAGAGGUUGUCCACUCAUCCUUUAUUGGGAUUAUUAGGUUUUUAUUCUCUCUUGCAUGUUCAAUUGCCAUUAAUGUCAAUACCAAGAGCUUCUCGCAGAUAAACAUGUAAUUAGUUGACUCCCUUUUGGAUUUUCAGAACUGUUAUCAUUCUCUGCAAGUCAAUCUUUACUUUCCCUUUUUCCGUCACGUUUUAUACCUCUUAUGAGUUUUUGAUAAUCAAUAAACUAAAUAUAUGUAGUAAAACCUAUCAUCUUACUUCGUUGAUUAUUCACAUAAUUAUACUUUUUGUUUUGGUUUUGACUCUAAUGAUUGUUGCUGUUGAUUGAACGUGAUUUUAGUUGUUCUUUCCAGGUUCUGAUUGCAUCACCUCCAAGAAAAAAACUCAGUCAGCUGAUUGCUUCAUGACUUUCCUACGUUGGCUUAUUGAAUCUCAUAUUCAGGAGCUGGAGGAGGAACUGAAGCUUCUCAAGAAUCACUCUCAACCAAAUAUAGUUGGAUGCAGCUGUCCUCACAAAUGGCGUGUAUGGCGACAUAGAUGAUGGUACCAUUACCGAUAGCGAUCUGAAGACAGAAAAACUCACACAUUACAUAGAGCAUCCCCGUCCCAUAGAGCCACCUGCAGAGGCAGCGCCUCCACCACCCCAGCCUCUUAAACUGACAAAGAGGGAGCAGAAGAAACUUCGAACCCAGAGGCGUCUGGCAUAAGAAAAGGAGAAACAGGAGAUGAUCAGACAAGGGUUGCUUGAACCACCAAAAGCAAAGGUGAAAAUGAGCAAUCUGAUGAAGGUUCUUGGGUCUGAAGCAACGCAAGACCCAACCAAGCUUGAGAAGGAGAUCCGCACAGCAGCAGCCAAACGUGAACAGGCUCACACGGACAGGAACGCAGCACGGAAGCUAACACCGGUACACCAACUACUUCUUUGUUUCUUUUAUAACUCUUUCAUUCAAUACCACUGAGAAUUUUUUUUUUUUUAUAACAUGAAACAUGGAAACAAGAACUUGUGAUUGGUUUAUUCGUAGAAAUCUGUGUUUUUGUGGACUUAUGGUCCAUCAGAGAGAGAGAGAGAGAGAGAAGGUUUUUCUUUGUGAGAAGGUUCUUCUCAUGGGAGAUGGGAGAACGAGCUUUUGGAUGGAGAAGAGACGCUGGAAGAAAUAUUGGAUCUUAUCAGUGAGGAAGCUGGAGCAUUGGCCACAGCUGAGGGAACCAAGAGCUUGAACUCAAGUUUCAUCUAAACUAAUGCUCUUCAGGAAUUUUUAAAGCUUAGUCGGUUGUGGUUGUGGUUGUUAAAGACAAGAGUGAUGGCUAGAAGGCUAAGGAAGAAGAUGAAGAUCAAUUGAAAAGUGGGUGGUUGGGUAAAUGAGGAGACCGCAAUAGUCUAAGAAGGUUGUGAUUGAACAUUUGAGGUCUCAUAAGGGAAGUAACUAUAAAAUGAUUUUCACCUCCUCGAUUAUUUGUCGAUGCUGGAGGGGUUGUGAUUAACAGAGUUUUCUUUGGUGGUGGACAAAAGAAAAAUAUUAAAAGAGAUUUUGUUUGAUACACUAAGCGUUUAGAUUCGAGACUCCCCUUAUAUAGAGUAAAAUUUAGGA
Long non-coding RNA from Brassica napus (rape), 2327 nucleotides. RefSeq lists it as uncharacterized. The record is from RefSeq and is a predicted model, not a curated record. The transcript is spliced from 5 exons. NCBI's taxonomy places the organism in Eukaryota, Viridiplantae, Streptophyta, Magnoliopsida, Brassicales, Brassicaceae.